This 46-nucleotide non-coding RNA is filed under the name Schistosoma haematobium. The record is from RNAcentral. Lineage: Eukaryota; Metazoa; Platyhelminthes; Trematoda; Strigeidida; Schistosomatidae.
GCACUGCUGAGGAGUCCCAUACUAGGACGAAACGGCCGUCCAGUAU